Molecule: ribosomal RNA, 473 nt
Filed under: Comamonas sp. ED19
Lineage: Bacteria; Pseudomonadati; Pseudomonadota; Betaproteobacteria; Burkholderiales; Comamonadaceae
Description: bacterial SSU rRNA
Rfam family: Bacterial small subunit ribosomal RNA
Source: RNAcentral
UCCAGCAAUGCCGCGUGCAGGAUGAAGGCCUUCGGGUUGUAAACUGCUUUUGUACGGAACGAAAAGCCCUGGGUUAAUACCCUGGGGUCAUGACGGUACCGUAAGAAUAAGCACCGGCUAACUACGUGCCAGCAGCCGCGGUAAUACGUAGGGUGCGAGCGUUAAUCGGAAUUACUGGGCGUAAAGCGUGCGCAGGCGGUUUUGUAAGACAGAGGUGAAAUCCCCGGGCUCAACCUGGGAACUGCCUUUGUGACUGCAAGGCUAGAGUACGGCAGAGGGGGAUGGAAUUCCGCGUGUAGCAGUGAAAUGCGUAGAUAUGCGGAGGAACACCGAUGGCGAAGGCAAUCCCCUGGGCCUGUACUGACGCUCAUGCACGAAAGCGUGGGGAGCAAACAGGAUUAGAUACCCUGGUAGUCCACGCCCUAAACGAUGUCAACUGGUUGUUGGGUCUUAACUGACUCAGUAACGAAGCU